GAUGAACGCUGGCGGCGUGCCUAAUACAUGCAAGUCGAGCGAACAGAUAAGGAGCUUGCUCCUUUGACGUUAGCGGCGGACGGGUGAGUAACACGUGGGUAACCUACCUAUAAGACUGGGAUAACUUCGGGAAACCGGAGCUAAUACCGGAUAAUAUUUCGAACUGCAUGGUUCGAUAGUGAAAGAUGGUUUUGCUAUCACUUAUAGAUGGACCCGCGCCGUAUUAGCUAGUUGGUAAGGUAACGGCUUACCAAGGCGACGAUACGUAGCCGACCUGAGAGGGUGAUCGGCCACACUGGAACUGAGACACGGUCCAGACUCCUACGGGAGGCAGCAGUAGGGAAUCUUCCGCAAUGGGCGAAAGCCUGACGGAGCAAAACCGCGUGAGUGAUGAAGGUCUUCGGAUCGUAAAACUCUGUUAUUAGGGAAGAACAUACGUGUAAGUAACUGUGCACGUCUUGACGGUACCUAAUCAGAAAGCCACGGCUAACUACGUG
This 497-nucleotide ribosomal RNA is filed under the name uncultured bacterium. RNAcentral's name for it is "partial 16S ribosomal RNA". It matches the Rfam family "Bacterial small subunit ribosomal RNA", at positions 28 to 507 of the family's 1533-position model. The record is from RNAcentral.